Molecule: long non-coding RNA, 380 nt
Filed under: Musa acuminata (dwarf banana)
Lineage: Eukaryota; Viridiplantae; Streptophyta; Magnoliopsida; Zingiberales; Musaceae
Description: long non-coding RNA (MACU_LNC005873)
Source: RNAcentral
AGAAGAGAAGGGAAAGGAGGAGCUGCGGCUACAGCAGUGGCAGCUGCAGUUGGAAGAGAAGGAGAGGAAGAGAAGGUGAGGAAGAAGAGAAGGAAGAAGGGAAGGAGAAGGAAGAAGAGAAGGGAAAGAAGGGGCUGCGGUUGCGGCUGUGGUAGGGAAAGAGGAAGAGGAAGGAAGAAGGGAAGGAGAGGAAGAAGAGAAGGGGAAGAAGGGGCUGCGGCUGCGGCGAUGGCAGCUGCAGCUGGAAGAGAAGAAGGAGAGGAAGAUAAGCAGGGGAGGAAGAAGAGGCUGCGGUUGUGGUGGCCGCGGCCAUGGCUGCGACUGCGAUUGCGGCAGUUGUAGCUGGGAAAGAAAAGAAAGGAAAGGGGGAAAAAGGGGCU